UCCAACCAUCUCAUCCUCUGUUGUUUUUAGGAACAGAUUUUAUGAUUGGAUGUUUUUAGGAACAGAUUUAUGAUCUCAAUCCUUGCAACUCCUCCUAUCUAGAGAAGCCCUAAAUCUCUUCAUGGUGAUAUCAGAUCCUCAUGA
Molecule: long non-coding RNA, 144 nt
Organism: Cervus elaphus (red deer)
Lineage: Eukaryota; Metazoa; Chordata; Mammalia; Artiodactyla; Cervidae
Exons: 4
Source: RefSeq, a predicted model, not a curated record